AUCCAUAAAAAAUACAUUUGCACGAACACACGAGUUAUAUUUUAAAAAUAGGGUUGUAACAGUUGACGGAUCAAAAAAUAAAAUAAAAUUAUUCAUUAUAAAUUCUAAAAUGAUUGUGUUUAUAAAUAUAUUAAGUAAUUAUUUAAUAUAUAUAUAUAUAUAUAAAUUUUAAAAACAUAUAUUAUCAUUUAUAUAAGAUAAAUAUUUUUUUUUGCAAACCAAAUGAAUAUGAUCAAGCUCUAGUAUAUAUUGAGGGCACGACCUAGAAGAGAGGGAGAGACAAUUUUUACGGCCAAGCCCUGCCAAAAUAACCGACAACGCAGCCUGCAUUUACUCUGAGAUAUCAGUGCCAAGUUGGGAUUUUGGAGAGACGUUUGCGACCAGAUACGAAAGAGUUAGGCAAAGAACUCAAGUUGGAUUGAUAGAUCUCAUUGCAAGGAAGACACAGAAACUUUCGGAUCUCAAUUAAGAGAGCCAUAUUGGGAAGAAAUUUCUGGUUUAUACAAAAUAAGUUAGGUGAAGUUCGUGAUAGUUUUAGAAAGCUGACGUUACCAGCUUUCUACAGCCACUAAGAACGCUUCAUUACGAGGUAAAAUAUGGAAGUUAUUCGAUUUUCAAUUUGGAGAAAAAUCACUGUUUUCUGAAUCCGGAAAUUCCAAGUCUGAAACCUGUUUUUCCAGUUUCACAUAGGAGUUUUGUGAGAAGGUUUACCGGUGAACCAGAGAGAGAUAGGACGCUAGUAAGGUUUCUAUGGAAAGAUCUAGCUGCAAGGAAUCUAUAUCUGUUUACCUUAUAUUUUUUAGAGGUAAGACAAAAUACUUAUUCGCGUUGCUUCCUGGACAAGAAUCAUCUUGUUCUGUCAAAACCAGAAACCCUAAUUCGCUUCGAACGCAAAUGCAGUUUCAGCACUAGAACAGAGUGUCAAUCCGCUAGUUUCAGAACCCACUUUCAACCUUAAGGCAAUGGUGAGGGUGCGAUCUGUGGACUUUAAUUAUUAUUAGUCAAGUUGUAUUCUUAAAUGCUAAGUCUAGGAGUUUGUCUGUAUUUGAUUGUUUGAUGAAUAACGUUGAUGAUGACCUGUUAGUUGAUAAUUGUUAAAGUGAUAUGUGGUGAAGUUGUUAAGUGAAUAUUAAAUGUGUAAAGUCAGACUGAGGACGAGGACAUGGAGAUCCCGUCAAAGCCCGUAAACCUGCUGACGAGCCCAAGGUGGCGUACGACCUUUCGAGGUGACGGCCAGCCUAAGUUGUCAUGUUAUUAUUAAUACUAGGUCCCUUCCCGGGCUACGCCCGGGUUAAUUAUUUAUAAACCUUAAUUUAUGAAGAAUAUUGUAGAACUUUCAUGUGAACAUAUUACUCUUUUUACUGGGUGAAUGUUACAUAUAAUUUUUUCUUGCAUUUUUAUGUAACAAAAAUAUAUAUUUUUUAGUUUUCUAAAAUACCAAAACUAAGUUAUGAAUACAUAAAUAGUCCGGAUGAUGUUGAAAAGUUGUUAUUAGUUGUAUUUCUUUGAUUAUUAUCUCAUGAGUUGUAGAUGGAGUAAUUUCUUUGUUGUUGAUAGAAUAAUUUCUUUGUUGUUGAUUUAUUUUUAUUUUUUUCUCUUGCUACUUCUUUUGAUAUCAUAUAUGAUAUAAUAUCAAAUUUUAGUUUUUUUUCAUUUUUGAUUGAAAUUUUGAAUAAUCUAUAUUAUUUCUGAUGAAAUGGAUUCUUUUUAAUAGUGUCGUGAAAAUUACUAAACAAAUAUAAUAUAUAUCAUAUACUCAAGCAUACAAAGAAAUAUUUUUACUUUACCAUUGUUCACACUCUUAAAAUAAGAAAAUUAUAAAUGUUUCGUCUUAAAUUUUUGAUUAACUAUUCACUGAUUACAUUAUUAUUAUUUAACGUGUUGAGCUUUUUUUAUAUAUGGGUUGAAAAUAUGUCCCCUUAUAUUUAUUUGAUCAAAUUUUUGCAUCCAAAAUAUUAUUGAUACUUUAUAUAUUGUAAAUAACUAAAUAUAUGAAAUUAAUAUUUUAGUAAUAUAUGUGUUGAUUUAGAAGGGGGAUCAAAUGUAUUUUAACUAACUUAGAAACGGUAUAGGUUUAAAUGUUCAGUGAUUAGUACUCAUAAUAUCAUAUUUUUUAGAAAAUGUCAUUUGAUUGAAAAUAGUAAAAUACUUUUCUUUUUGAAACUAUAAUAGUAAAAUACUUGGUUAGUAAUAAGUUUGUAAGACUUGUAGUUUCUUUUUCUAUUUCGUUAACAUAACAUUUCCCUUAAGUACAACAAAACUUGUAUUAUAACAACCAACUUUUAGUUUGGAUUUUUGGUAAAAGAUUGUCGAGGAUCCAUGUGAGAUUAGCACACUCAUCGAACCAA
Brassica rapa (field mustard) is the source of this 2348-nucleotide long non-coding RNA. RefSeq lists it as uncharacterized. NCBI's taxonomy places the organism in Eukaryota, Viridiplantae, Streptophyta, Magnoliopsida, Brassicales, Brassicaceae. The record is from RefSeq and is a predicted model, not a curated record.